RNAcentral lists this ribosomal RNA (212 nucleotides) under uncultured bacterium. RNAcentral describes it as "partial 16S ribosomal RNA". It matches the Rfam family "Bacterial small subunit ribosomal RNA", at positions 568 to 774 of the family's 1533-position model. The record is from RNAcentral.
CACGUAGGCGGCCUGGUAAAGUACAGAUGUGAAAGCCCGGGGCUUAAACCCCGGAAGUUGCAUUUGAUACUGUCAGGCUUGAGUAUGGGAGAGGGAAGUGGAAUUCCUUGGUGUAGAGGUGAAAUUCGUAGAUAUCAGGAGGAACACCGGUGGCGAAGGCGACUUCCUGGACCAAUACUGACGCUGAGGUGCGAAGGCGUGGGUAGCAAACA